GUCCUCUGAUGAGACAAGAUCACACAGACAAAACAGUGUCAUCCACAGCAAACCUCUGUCUCCCAUUGUGUCUGUACUCUCCUCAUCACCACCACGUGAACACUGCUCCCAGUAAACUGGUCCCAGGACAGAGUAGUAUUCUAUUCUAUAUGAAUGCUUGAAUGGGUUCAUUCUCUGACAUUCACACGAGUUUAUGAGGCAGCUACAUGGAGAAACAGACAAGACACAUGGACAGCAGAGUAUCAGAAAGAGUGAGAGACAUUGUGAGGCACUGCAGUCUUAUGAAAAGUGAGAGUCAACCAAGGCGGAUGCGCUGGGCGGUGGGGGUGGAUGGCGCCCUCUACAGGUAGAGAUGAUUAGAUGACUAAGGCAGAUGCGCUGGGCGGUGGAUGGCGCCCUCUACAGGUAGAGAUGAUUAGAUGACUAAGGCAGAUGUGCUGGGCGGUGGGGGUGGAUGGCGCCCUCUACAGGUAGAGAUGAUUAGAUGACUAAGGCAGAUGCGCUGGGCGGUGGGGGUGGAUGGCGCCCUCUACAGGUAGAGAUGAUUAGAUGACUAAGGCAGAUGCGCUGGGCGGUGGGGGUGGAUGGCGCCCUCUACAGGUAGAGAUGAUUAGAUGACUAAGGCAGAUGCGCUGGGCGGUGGGGGUGGAUGGCGCCCUCUACAGGUAGAGAUGAUUAGAUGACUAAGGCAGAUGUGCUGGGCGGUGGGGGUGGAUGGCGCCCUCUACAGGUAGAGAUGAUUAGAUGACUAAGGCAGAUGUGCUGGGCGGUGGGGGUGGAUGGCGCCCUCUACAGGUAGAGAUGAUUAGAUGACUAAGGCAGAUGUGCUGGGCGGUGGAUGGCGCCCUCUACAGGUAGAGAUGAUUAGAUGACUAAGGCAGAUGCGCUGGGCAGUGGGGGUGGAUGGCGCCCUCUACAGGUAGAGAUGAUUAGAUGACUAAGGCAGAUGUGCUGGGCAGUGGGGGUGGAUGGCGCCCUCUACAGGUAGAGAUGAUUAGAUGACUAAGGCAGAUGCGCUGGGCAGUGGGGGUGGAUGGCGCCCUCUACAGGUAGAGAUGAUUAGAUGACUAAGGCAGAUGUGCUGGGCAGUGGGGGUGGAUGGCGCCCUCUACAGGUAGAGAUGAUUAGAUGACUAAGGCAGAUGUGCUGGGCAGUGGGGGUGGAUGGCGCCCUCUACAGGUAGAGAUGAUUAGAUGACUAAGGCAGAUGUGCUGGGCGGUGGGGGUGGAUGGCGCCCUCUACAGGUAGAGAUGAUUAGAUGACUAAGGCAGAUGUGCUGGGCGGUGGAUGGCGCCCUCUACAGGUAGAGAUGAUUAGAUGACUAAGGCAGAUGUGCUGGGCGGUGGAUGGCGCCCUCUACAGGUAGAGAUGAUUAGAUGACUAAGGCAGAUGUGCUGGGCGGUGGAUGGCGCCCUCUACAGGUAGAGAUGAUUAGAUGACUAAGGCAGAUGUGCUGGGCGGUGGAUGGCGCCCUCUACAGGUAGAGAUGAUUAGAUGACUAAGGCAGAUGUGCUGGGCGGUGGAUGGCGCCCUCUACAGGUAGAGAUGAUUAGAUGACUAAGGCAGAUGCGCUGGGCUGUGGAUGGCGCCCUCUACAGGUAGAGAUGAUUAGAUGGCUAAGGCAGAUGCGCUGGCCGGUUGAUGGCGCCCUCUACAGGUAGAGAUGAUUAGAUGACUAAGGCAGAUGCGCUGGGCAGUGGGGGUGGAUGGCGCCCUCUACAGGUAGAGAUGAUUAGAUGACUAAGGCAGAUGUGCUGGGCG
Long non-coding RNA from Oncorhynchus keta (chum salmon), 1761 nucleotides. RefSeq lists it as uncharacterized. Lineage: Eukaryota; Metazoa; Chordata; Actinopteri; Salmoniformes; Salmonidae. The record is from RefSeq and is a predicted model, not a curated record. The transcript has 5 exons.